Molecule: ribosomal RNA, 262 nt
Filed under: uncultured bacterium
Lineage: Bacteria
Description: partial 16S ribosomal RNA
Rfam family: Bacterial small subunit ribosomal RNA
Source: RNAcentral
GUCCACGCCGUAAACGGUGGGUGCUAGGUGUGGGGAACUUUCCACGUUCUCCGUGCCGCAGCUAACGCAUUAAGCACCCCGCCUGGGGAGUACGGCCGCAAGGCUAAAACUCAAAGGAAUUGACGGGGGCCCGCACAAGCGGCGGAGCAUGCGGUUUAAUUCGAUGCAACGCGAAGAACCUUACCAAGGUUUGACAUAUAGGGAAAUCUCAUAGAGAUAUGAGGUCCGCAAGGGUCCUAUACAGGUGGUGCAUGGCUGUCGU